RNAcentral lists this long non-coding RNA (4847 nucleotides) under Sus scrofa (pig). Its description in RNAcentral is "lncRNA (ENSSSCG00015020507.1)". Lineage: Eukaryota; Metazoa; Chordata; Mammalia; Artiodactyla; Suidae. The record is from RNAcentral.
UUUUUUUUUUUUUUUUUUUUUUUUUUCAGCUUAACCUCAAAGUCUUUUAGGACAAGAACUACUUUACUUUUACUUUUUGUUUCCCCCCAGUGUCUAGGGGUCUAAUAGGCCACCGGCCUAUGCCAGAGCCACAGCAAUGCAGGAUCUGAGCCAUGUCUGCGACCUACACCACAGCUCACGGAAACACCAGAUCCUUAACCCACUGAGCGAGGCCAGAGACUGAACCCACAACCUCAUGGUACCUAGUCGGAUUUUUUAACCACUGCACCACAAUGGGAACUCCUCUUCUUUUGCUUUUUUAAUCUUCAGUGUCUGUCAUGGUACUUAUCAAUCUAAUCAAUGUUCAAUGCAUGUUUGAGUUAAAUGAAGUUGACGCGCAGAACAGUUGGGCAACAAAAGACAGUUACUGAGUGUGCCAGAGCCAGAAUAUGUGAUACAGGCUGUGAGUACUAUAGAAUUCAGGGGAGAAGGGGGGGGUCACCAGAAUGUCACAAAGACCAGGCUUGAGGGACUUUGGGAAGGGAGAGGAGUUUCAGGCAGAGAAAGCUUCAUGAACAAAGGUAGAGACACAGGUGAGGACAAGGCUGAGCAAGAAAUAGAGAGACUGACCCACAUGGGGUGAUGUUGGAAGCUGCUGAGUGGAGGAAGUGGAGAACGGACCGUGUGGGUUUAGGAGGACUCAAAGCCAGUUGUGAGUUUUUGGAAAUACAUCGAGUGGGAGGAAAUGUCAGACAUGUGGGCUAAAUUAGAGGAGGGACGAGACAUCAAUUAGGUGUCUGGAAUAGGGACUUGGAGCAGAAGUGGGCUCCAAAUCUGUUUGGAAUAGAGACUUGGCAAUAGAGCUGACACAACAUCCAAAAGAGGUUUGGGGGGGAGGCUCGUUAUAUUGGUCACUAGAUUGUGCCAGGAGAUGAAGAGGUCUGAGAUAUAUGAUGUCAAAGAUGACUUCCAAUCUUAAGCCACUCUGCUGCCGAGUUGGGGUAGCAUCACUGAUUACCACGUAGAAUUUCCAGGGUGUAUGAAUGGGGGUCUGGUGUCUAACCAUGAGAUCAGGAAAGUCCUUAAAACCCAGACUGAAGCCCUGAGUCCAGAGGUCUUUGAGUCCAGUUCAGCUGUUUGACUAUGGACACGUUAUUUAAUGAUCGAGUCUCCCCCCUUACCCACCACUCCACGCAUUAGGAGUAAAGUAGCACUUCGAGGUGGCAUUAUCACAAAGGGUAGCUUAGUAUAAGAAUGUGCUUGGGAAGUAGCCAGUGUACCAUAAGGUCUAGCCUUCUUUCCCCAAUACUUCCUGAAAUUCACGAGUGGGGUUUUUGUUGUUGUUGCUUUUUGUUUGUUUGGCUGUGCCCAUGGCAUGUGCAAGUUCCAGGGUCAAGGAUCAAACCCACACCACAGGAGCGACCCAAGCCUCUGCAGUGACAAUGCUGAAUCCUUAACCCACUGAGCCGCAAGAGAACUGAAAUCCAAGAGUUUGAUGCUUACCUUUGAGAUCACUGACAUUUUUGCCUGCAAGCAAAAAUACUCAACUGGCUAGUGGUUAAAUCCUAUCUAACUUUUCCCCUAUACACGUUACAGAAAACUUAGUAACUCUCAGAAUCAGUAGUCCCCAAAUUCGUGGCUCCAGAAUUGGACAUCUAGCAACUCAACAGAGUUUCUUCCGCUUUCCCUGUCCUCUCUGCCACCAGCUUCAUAUGGAUCUCCUCUCUUUCCAGUUGUAACUUGGCUGCCACCAUUCCAGGUUUGGGUGGGGGGGGGGGUGAUAAAAAAAGAAAAACCUUUUCUUUCCCAGCAGACCUUCUUCUCUUUGUUUCUUGGCCCAGAGCCUUAUAUACCUACCUCAACACCGACCCCUGACAAGGGCAACGUAAUUACCACCUUUAGACCAAUCCCCUUUUAUUCCAGUCAUGUGAGAAAGGGAAGCAGCUAGUGGCUUGCCAGUGUUAGAACUGAUUUAAUGUAAGUCCCUGGAAUGGAAAUGGAUGCCAAAGGGACCUUCUUAAAUGUGGAUUCUGAUUCAUCUCAGUGGGGGUGAACCCGAGAUUCUGCAUUUCUAACAAAGCUCCCAGGGACGGCACUGUCCUUAGGGGACUGCACAGCAAAGUUUUGAGUAGAAAGGGGAAGGGUGGCCAGUAAAAGUUAGCUGCAGCUUCCCACCCCUGCCUGCUUGCCACUUUCUGGAAUGCUGGCCCAGCCUCAGAGUGAACAAUUUCUAUUCUGGUCCUGGAGCAGCCUUGGCUUCUGGAGCAGGUGGCUUAAUAAUGACAAAUGACCUUUGCAACUGCACUUCACAAUUUACAAAGCAUGUUUGUUACACCAUGGUUUUCAGUCUUCUCUGCAUAUUGCUUGUUUUCCUGUGAGAAAGUGAAGCUCAGAGAGGUAAUUUCAUAAAGGUCACGUAACUAAGGAGAGGUGGGGUUGGAGCCCAAACGUACAUUUCCUCACCUAAGUCUCUUCAUUUUGCUACUAUACUAUUUGGGUUUCCAUCUGAUAGAAGUGAGUUUUCCAUUUUCUGCCUAUUGCCUGAAUCCUUGAUCCCCUAGAUGGGGAUGCUGGUUUAAGUACUGCAUGCAGGAUACCAUUUCAAAGAUAGGUUAAAUAAUUUACCCAAGAUCAUAUGGCUUGUAAGUGUUAGAACUAGGUUAUAAAUGUAAGCCCCUGGGAUGGAAAUUGGUGCAGCUACUAUGGAACAGUGUUAUAGAACAGUAUGGAAGUUCCUUAAAAAACUUAAAAUAGAGUUACCAUAUGAUCCAUCAGUCACAUUCCUGGGCAUAUAAUCUGGAGAAAACUCUUAAUUUGAAAAGAUACAUGCAACCCCGUGUUUAUUGCAGCACUGUUCACAACAGCCAAAACAUGGAAACAAACUAAAUGUCCAUUGACAGAUGAAUGGAUAAAGAAAAUGUGGUACAUAUACAACAGAAUACUACUCAGCCAUAAAAAAGAAUGAAGUAAUGCCACCUGCAACAACAUGGACGGACCUAAAGAUUAUCUACUAAGUGAAGUGAGUCAGAAAGAGAAAGACAAAUACCAUAUGUUAUCACUUAUAUGUGGAAUCUCAAAUAUGAUACAGAUGGACUUACUUACAAAACAGAAACAGACUCACAGACAUAGGAAACAAACUUAAUGGUUACCAAAGUAGAAAGGAGGUAGGGGAGGGAUAAAUUAGGAGUUUGGGAUUAGCAGAUACAAACUACUAUAUAUAAAAUGGGUAUGCAACAAGGUCCUACUGUAGAGCACAGGGAACUGUAUUCAAAAGCCUGUGGUAAACCAUGAUGGAAAAGAAUGUGAAAAAGAAUACAUAUGCAUAUGUAUAACUGAGUCACUUUGCUGAACACCUAAAACUAAUACAACAUUGUAAAUCAACAAGACAUCAAUUUUUUAAAAAAAGUUAGCCCCUGAAUCAGAGGUUUGCCAUUUCUUCCUCUGUGCUUGCUGCUUACUAACACAGGGUACUGGGUACUGACCGCCCAGGGGUAAAUUUUCCACUACCCUAAUACUUGUCCUCCCUCAUUCUCUGCAGGGUGUUUCUGUGGCCUGGGACUGGUAAGCACCAACAAGUCCUGCUCCAUGCCACCCAUCAGUUUCCAAGACCUCCCUCUGAACAUCUACAUGGUCAUCUUCGGCACAGGCAUCUUUGUCUUCAUGCUCAGCCUCAUCUUCUGCUGCUAUUUUAUCAGGUGGGCAUCUCACUGGCUGACCCAGGGUGGAGGAUGAAGGAUCCAGGAGGAGGAGGCCAUGGGUAGGGUGAGCCAAGCAAAGCUCUUAGUAGCAGAGUCACCAGCCUCCAGCUUUGAGGACAGGACUUAGCCUGCCCUUCACUGGGCCCCUGAGGCCUGGUGUUUCUAUUUACAUCAGCCUAUCAAGUUGUUGGAGAGCAUAUAAGGUCAGCUUGGGUUGGGCUGCAUCCCGCCCACUGGCCAGUUAUUCUCAGAUUGCUUAGAAUGACUGUCCAACCAAGUAACGUCAUUGGUUCCUAACUGCCCCUCUCCACCCAUUCACACCUACUGCAUGGCCAGGAACAGGUGGGCAUCGUGACACCAAAGGCAUGUUCCUCUGCCCUCUGGGGAAAUCCUGUUGUCAUCCCUCCAGAUUCUAAUAUUAGCAAGCUGGUAGCUGCUGAGCUGCUUGUUUGUCCUGCCCUGUAAGCUCUUAUUUUCAAGAGAGAAAAAAAUGAAAACUGGCACUUCUGUUCUUACUGGGUAGGGAUCUGGGGAAGGACAUGAGCUCGGCAGCACUAGCCAAGCUCCAGGAGCAGUUUCUCCACUUCCUGAGGAAAGACAUAAGCACUGGUGACUGGUUUCUAUCAAAAAUGUGGGGCAUGCCUGGUAUUUGGAGUGGAAAAUACAGUAGUGUUUCCGACUAGGGUGCCCUAUUGAUAUUAACAAUCCCUCAUUGUAUGGGAUUGUCCUGAACAUCAGGGAACACUGAGCACCCCUGACUGGUAGAAUGUGCUAAUGAUGCUUAAAGCCAUUGUGGUAACCAACCUACACACACAAGCACAUUACCCAAGGUCGGGGUAGAUGUCAGCUGAGAGUCUAGGCUAGUGUCUGAUCAAAUCAUCUAAGAAGUUUAUUAAAGUGAAGGAUAAAGGGGAUUUCCCUUUGUGGCUCAGUAGGUUAAGAACCCAACUGGUAUCCAUGAAGAGGCGGUUUCAAUUCCUGGCCUGGCUCAGUGGGUUAAGGAUCCAGCCUUGCUGUGAGCUGCAAUACAGGUUGAGGAUGCGGCUUGAAUCUGGCGUCACUGUGGCUGGUAGCAUAGGCUGGUGGCUGCAGCUCAGAUUUAAUCCCUAGCCUGGGGACCUCCAGAUGCCGUGGGUGUGGCCCUAAAAAGAAAAAAAAAAAAAAAAAAAA